This is a non-coding RNA of Acanthosepion pharaonis, 116 nucleotides long. Lineage: Eukaryota; Metazoa; Mollusca; Cephalopoda; Sepiida; Sepiidae. The record is from the annotation of a GenBank genome assembly.
CUUGCGGCCAUAUCCUGUUUAAAUAACGGUCCCCCGUAUGAUCACCGAAGUUAAGCAACGUCGAACCUGGUUAAUACCAAGCUGGGUGACUACUUGGGAAUACCAGGUGCUGUAAG